GUUACUGUAAUCGUCGAAAUCACAAGCAUCCAGCAUUAAUGAUCUUCCUCCCGUUGAUUUUUGCUUCAUGUCUAUUGGUUCAUUCUCGCCUUUCAACAGCUGAACAGCCUGUAUAGUCCAAGAAUUUACAGGCAUUCGGGUAAAUCUCAUCUUGUACUCAUAGAUGGUUGUUUUGCAUGCAUUCAGUAACAUCAUGCACCAAAUCAUAUUGUUUGCAUAAUGCUAGAGCUAUUAGAUAUGAAGUUGAAAUCAAUUAAAGUGAGGUUUCGUUUCACAUCCUCGGUAGUAUUUCUAGUCAUUUCAAGUUUGGACAAUAGGAUGAGUAAUUCUAGUUGUCUAAGGAUUUCCAAACUGAUUGUCUAAGGACAAUAGGAUAUGGUUUUCAACUUGCAAACAACGUGUAAAAGAUAAAGACAUACCCGUUUCAUGUUGGGACGCAUGUUUGGCAAAUGAUGAAUGCAUGUAGAAGCUGUAAACAUAGCUCUUUUCAUCUCAACAAUGUCGUAGGCAUCGCCUAGACGAGGAUCUGCUAAUUCCUUGAUAUUGUUCUUUUCCAGCAUUGGUUUUGCCUAUGCAAAAUAGCAGCAGAUAUGAAUAUUUCUUCAGAAAUUCAAAAUCUAGAGGCAAAUCCAAGAUUCAGAAUCUAUGAGUUCAAAAUGAGGUAAUCUUCUUAUAUGUAUACGCUUUAAACUUUUUUGGCAUAUGUAUAUAUUUUUCGAGUCAAAAAGUAAUGAGUUUAGUUGUACCCCUGCAUCAAAACAAGUUCGUCCAAAGAAUGUGUCAAUUUAACAAGACCAUACCCACAUCACAAGACUCUGUCUGGAUGAAUCAACAGCACGACGACCAGUAAUAAGUUCCAAUAGCAGAACUCCAAAGGCAAAAACAUCGGUCUUCUCAUGAACAAUUCCAUGCAUAAAGUACUCUGGUGCCAUAUAUCUGAGAACCAAUUAUGUCAUAUUUUCAUCAGACCAACAAUUUGUAAUGAAUGAUUGAAUGAACCCAUUUAAAAUGCAGUUGUGCUGAACUUUACAUACCCAAAAGUUCCUUCAAUAGGGGAAACAAUAUGAUGAGCCCAUUUUUCUGGCAACCACUUUGCAAGUCCGAAAUCAGAUAUCUGCAACAAUAUGAAAUUAUUCAUUACACGCGAGUGAGUUGAAAUUGUUCAUUACAAGGUUUUUAAAGAAAAAACAAGAAUGAAAACCUGAGGUUCAUAAUCUUCAGUAAGUAGAAUGUUAGAGGCUGUAAUAUCUCUAUGGAUUAUGCGCCUUUGGCAAUCAGAAUGAAGAUAACGCAAUCCUUCAGCUACUCCAACUGCCACUUUAUAUCUUAUUUUCCAUUCAAGACACUCUUCUCUACCUGAAAAAUGCUGAGUUCUUCAUUUAUCAGUCAAACAACACCAACAUCCCAAUUCACCUCAUUACAUUUUAUACUUCAUUAAAUGAUACAUGUCCUAGUAAUAAAGCAUUAGACUAGAGAUCAAUAUCAAACAACCAUAGUUUAUUAUUCCCGUGAACUGUGUGACCACCUCAUCAAAAACCUAAAAAUGUUUGAAAGAAUACACUUUUUAUUGCUUAACUGGUAAAGUUGUUGUCAUGUGACCAGGAGGUCACGGGUUCGAGCCGUGGAAACAGCCUCUUGCAGAAAUGCAAGGUAUGAUUGCGUUCAAUACACCCCUGUGGUCUGGUCUUUCCCGGACCCCGCACAUUGCGGGAGCUUAGUGCACCAGGCUACCCUUUAAUUACAUUGUGUCUCGACACGCUGCCCUUGAUUCUUUUUCAUGAGCCAACUAUUAGGAAAUAUAUUUUAUUUUUUGUAACGGUGAUUUGAAUGACGACCUCUACUCUGAUACUAUAUUUAAUUGUUUGACCACCUCAUCUAAAAGUUUAAGCUUUUAGAGUGAUAUUAUCCAAUCCAAAACUUGAAGGCGGCUUGAAGUGGCCUCGUACAUUAUGAUGAGGGACUGGUGUAUUUUCUAACAAUUUCAAGAGAAUUAUUCAGCAACAAAGUUGAGGCUUGAGAGAGAGAAAUACAGCACCGUGUAGUACAGAAGCAAGGCUGCCAUGUUGCAAGUAUUGAAGAACAAGGUGCAAACCACCAUCAACACUGAAACCAAUUAACUUAACAGCAUUAGGAUUGUUGAUAUGAGCAAUGAUUCCUAGCUCAGAUAAGAAGUCUCCAACUCUGUCCUCAUCAUUCUUUUCUUUCUUUGUUAUUUUCUUGACUGCUACAACUUGUCCAUCAGGUAAAUGUCCUUUGUACACUUCUGCAUGUCCUCCUUUGCCAAUCAAGUUAUCUGUCACAUUUCCAAGGUAUAAAAUCAGUAGAAUAUUUAGCAUAAACUACGUGCAAAGUUAUUUGAUGUUGGCACUUCUAUUUUCAAGUAAGCGUGCACAUUAUGCAAUCUAAUUAUAAGACUAUACUCCCUUUGUUUUAAUUUAUGUGAACCUAUUUUAUUUUUAGUCUAUGCCAAAAAGAAUGACCUUUUUUCCAUUUGGAANCAAUUUACCUUUAUGCAAUGAUUUAUAGUCACACAAAAUAUAUGUGCCUCAUUUUACACCACAAGUUUAAAAGCCUUAUCUUUUUUUUUAACUCUGUGUCCAGUCAAAUGGGUUCACAUAAAUUGAAAUGGAGGGAGUAAUACAUUUCCUUGAAAGCAACAUAUUUUAGGUAAAAUUGUGAGAUUCUUGAAAAAACUUUCUUUUUGUAUCCGGACCAACUUAAUUAUUUCACUGGGUAUCUCACAACAUUAUUGGGUUAAAAUGAGGAUAAAGAUCAAUUUUAGCCCGCGGGCGAAAUUAUUUAUAUUUGGUAGCUGCAAAAGUGUAUAAAAUUUAUGUAUUUUCUUGUAUAUAACAUACAGAAAUAUAUACAUAUCCAAAAAAUAUAUAAAAAAUUAUACAUUUUUCAUCUAUUAUUUCGAGAGCGGCUAUAUAGUGCCAUUUUUCCUAAAAAUGACUACGAAGAUUCACAUAGAUAGAUAGAAAUCACCUAGCAUUUUUUAUCAUGGUUGGAAUUUGAAUCAAGUUUUCUAUAUUUUCAUCCCUUAGGAGCUUGUGGAAUUCUUGGACAAUUGGACCAUUCAUUUAUUUUUUUUCUUUUUGAGUCAAUAAUAAUGGCAAGAAGCUGCAGGCAUGUGCAGAUGAGUACACUUGCAGCUGCUCAGCUGCAUCAACAUGGCCUUGGAGCAGAAAUUUCAAACUUGAGGGGACAAAUUGAAACAUCAAGGCCCAUAGACAGUAAUAGAAAAAUUAAAUACUCCCUUUUGUUUCAAUUUAGAUAAUACAAUUUCAUUGUUGGCAAUGACACAUUUCUACAAUUGAAUAAUUUAAUUCUAAAUUCUUUAUUUUUCUCAUUUUACUCUUAAUGAGAAGCUUUU
RNAcentral lists this long non-coding RNA (3376 nucleotides) under Nicotiana tabacum (common tobacco). RNAcentral describes it as "long non-coding RNA (NTAB_LNC001666)". The record is from RNAcentral. Lineage: Eukaryota; Viridiplantae; Streptophyta; Magnoliopsida; Solanales; Solanaceae.